CUGAUAUGCAGGAUGAUGGUGCCGAUGAAAUUAAGGAAACCAAAAACGACAAUGAACAACAGUGAGGGAACUGGUCCUCAGAUUAUCAUUUGGCUUCUUUCUUCCUGGCUGUUUUUAUUGGGAGAAGCUGCUUCUUUUUUAUUUCCUUUCUCCUGUCUUUCGGGUUUCCCUUUUUAUCCGUGGCAACGAACAACUUUGAAUAUUGAUGUUCAAUUGUUUCAUCUGUACCUUAAUGUGGUUCUUGCUGGUGCUUAGUUUCUAUGAAAGCAUUUCAGUUGUAUUUGUGAACUGGAUAUAUAAAAUGGUACAUCCAAGUGAUACUCAGCAACCGGG
RNAcentral lists this unclassified non-coding RNA (333 nucleotides) under Hevea brasiliensis (rubber tree). Lineage: Eukaryota; Viridiplantae; Streptophyta; Magnoliopsida; Malpighiales; Euphorbiaceae. The record is from RNAcentral.